Long non-coding RNA from Cucurbita moschata (crookneck pumpkin), 628 nucleotides. RefSeq lists it as uncharacterized. The record is from RefSeq and is a predicted model, not a curated record. The transcript has 2 exons. NCBI's taxonomy places the organism in Eukaryota, Viridiplantae, Streptophyta, Magnoliopsida, Cucurbitales, Cucurbitaceae.
AAUAAUGGAACAUAGCAAAGUCAUUCUCAAGGUAAAAGGAAGAUUCCAAGUUCAUGAGAAUCUUGGAUGGAAGCCAACCAUAUUGCUAAAGUUUCAUAUUCAUUCACAUGUCAUCUCAUAUCAACCACUCACAUGUAAUCUCAUAUCAACCACAUGAAGUACAUGACAAGAAACCCUGAAAAUAUCUUGGUUAAAACGCUUGUGUGGUGAAAAUUUGAUCGACAAAAGAAACAGUUAUUCAGGAUUCAGACCUUUCGAUCGACAAAAGUUAACGGUUAUUCAGGAUUUAGAUCUUUCAAUCGACAAAAGAAACAACUAUUCAUGAUUCAGAGCUUUCGAUCGACAAAAGAAACAACUAUUCAGGAUUCAGAUCUUUCGAUCAACAAAAAAAAAAACAACUAUUUAGGAUUAAGAUCUUUCGAUCAACAAAAGAAACAACUAUUUAGGAUUCAGAUCUUUCGAUCGACAAAAGAAACAGCUAUUCAGGAUUCGGAUAUUUCCACUCGACAAAAGAAACAACUAUUCAGGAUUCAAAUCUUUCGAUCAAUAAAAGAAACAGCUAUUCAAGAUUCAGAUAUUUCGAUCGACAAAAGAAACAGCUAUUCAGGAUUAAGAUCUUUCAAUCAAC